Molecule: ribosomal RNA, 292 nt
Filed under: uncultured bacterium
Lineage: Bacteria
Description: partial 16S ribosomal RNA
Rfam family: Bacterial small subunit ribosomal RNA
Source: RNAcentral
GUGUCAGCAGCCGCGGUAAGACGAACCGUGCGAACGUUGUUCGGAAUCACUGGGCUUAAAGGGCGCGUAGGCGGGCCGCCGCGUCCGGGGUGAAAUCCUCCCGCUCAACGGGAGAACGGCCUCGGAUACGGGCGGCCUGGAGGCGGGUAGGGGCACGCGGAACUGUGGGUGGAGCGGUGAAAUGCGUUGAGAUCCACAGGAACUCCGGUGGCGAAGGCGGCGUGCUGGACCCGAUCUGACGCUGAGGCGCGAAAGCCAGGGGAGCGAACGGGAUUAGAUACCCUGGUAGUCC